Molecule: long non-coding RNA, 177 nt
Organism: Macadamia integrifolia
Lineage: Eukaryota; Viridiplantae; Streptophyta; Magnoliopsida; Proteales; Proteaceae
Exons: 3
Source: RefSeq, a predicted model, not a curated record
UAUUCUCUAAUUUGCAGGCCCAGAAGAGGGAACUAUUGGAACUGGAAAGAAGGGAAAUUAUUGGUGAAAUUCUAAAGCUGAACCCAAGUUACAAGGCUCCAUCUGAUUACAAGCCAUUAUUGAAAGAGGUUGUAGUACCUAUUCCUCUUAAAGCACAUCCAGGAUUCAAUUUCACUG